Molecule: ribosomal RNA, 253 nt
Filed under: uncultured bacterium
Lineage: Bacteria
Description: partial 16S ribosomal RNA
Rfam family: Bacterial small subunit ribosomal RNA
Source: RNAcentral
UACGAAGGGGGCUAGCGUUGUUCGGAAUUACUGGGCGUAAAGCGCACGUAGGCGGGUUGUUAAGUCAGGGGUGAAAUCCCGGAGCUCAACUCCGGAACUGCCUUUGAUACUGGCAAUCUAGAGACUGGAAGAGGUUAGUGGAAUUCCCAGUGUAGCGGUGAAAUGCGUAGAUAUUGGGAGGAACAUCGGUGGCGAAGGCGGCUACCUGGACGGGUACUGGCGCUGAUGCGCGAAAGCUAGGGGAGCAAACAGG